ACUCAGGUGGCUCGAUUGGACUGAGGCACUUCCCUACGAAGGAAGCAUAGGCAGGUUCGACCCCUGUCCUGAGUACCA
This 78-nucleotide transfer RNA is filed under the name Pseudomonas phage ventosus. RNAcentral describes it as "tRNA-Arg". It matches the Rfam family "tRNA". From Rfam's summary of the family: Transfer RNA (tRNA) molecules are approximately 80 nucleotides in length. Their secondary structure includes four short double-helical elements and three loops (D, anti-codon, and T loops). The record is from RNAcentral. Lineage: Duplodnaviria; Heunggongvirae; Uroviricota; Caudoviricetes; Vandenendeviridae.